CUUGACAAAAGAAAAAACCUUAUACUCGCCACCCUUCAUCUUAUCUCACGUCUCACUCUCAAACUUCGUUCUCCCUCAUUCCCACUGUCUGCGCUCUCUCUCCAACCUCCUCUCCCUCACAUCGUAGCUCUCCUCCACGCACGGUCUGACGGUUCCACUCCCUUUGCAGGACACGGGGACCAUCUCUCCUCUGCUCACGGUGUUGGACUACACUAAAAUGGAUAAUCUAUUCUCUCGGCUAGGGGAGAUGAGGUCUUACCUAAAAGUACCCUCAGAAAUUCUACAAGGAGUGGGAGUCACUUUGGGGAUUUUUUUAAUUUAAUUAUUUUUGUUUGUAUUUAAUGUGUAUUAUUGAAUCUCUAAGUUGGAAUGUUGAAUCUUUAAUAUUAUUGGAUUCUUAUUUGAGCAUUUUAUUUA
This is a long non-coding RNA of Humulus lupulus (European hop), 417 nucleotides long. RefSeq lists it as uncharacterized. NCBI's taxonomy places the organism in Eukaryota, Viridiplantae, Streptophyta, Magnoliopsida, Rosales, Cannabaceae. The transcript is spliced from 4 exons. The record is from RefSeq and is a predicted model, not a curated record.